GAUGAACGCUGGCGGCGUGCCUAAUACAUGCAAGUCGAGCGAACGGACGAGAAGCUUGCUUCUCUGAUGUUAGCGGCGGACGGGUGAGUAACACGUGGAUAACCUACCUAUAAGACUGGGAUAACUUCGGGAAACCGGAGCUAAUACCGGAUAAUAUUUUGAACCGCAUGGUUCAAAAGUGAAAGACGGUCCUGCUGUCACUUAUAGAUGGAUCCGCGCUGCAUUAGCUAGUUGGUAAGGUAACGGCUUACCAAGGCAACGAUGCAUAGCCGACCUGAGAGGGUGAUCGGCCACACUGGAACUGAGACACGGUCCAGACUCCUACGGGAGGCAGCAGUAGGGAAUCUUCCGCAAUGGGCGAAAGCCUGACGGAGCAACGCCGCGUGAGUGAUGAAGGUCUUCGGAUCGUAAAACUCUGUUAUUCGGGAAGAACAUAUGUGUAAGUAACUGUGCACAUCUUGACGGUACCUAAUCAGAAAGCCACGGCUAACUACGUG
Molecule: ribosomal RNA, 497 nt
Filed under: uncultured bacterium
Lineage: Bacteria
Description: partial 16S ribosomal RNA
Rfam family: Bacterial small subunit ribosomal RNA
Source: RNAcentral